ACUCAAUUCAUAAUAAACUAGGUAUAGUUUUAUCCUAAAACAAUAUCAUAAACUUCCUAAAUGUUACUUCCAUCAGAUGAUUGUCUUGCACCCAAAGGAGACUCUGGCUCAUUUGCAUCAGGAGCUUGCUGAAAUAAUAUAAAAAAAAUUAAUAAAAUAAACUCAAUUACAUGUACAAUUCCUACAUUAUAUAUGCAUUCUAUAUUAACCACUUUCAUCAGGGACCAAAACCAAUCAUUUUUCUUGUGUAAAUUUCUUGCUUGCAAAAACAUCUAGCCAUAUUCUUGGAGAUAUGUCUUUCUUACAUUUCANUCUUUCAAAAUAAUAUAAUAUAACUC
Molecule: long non-coding RNA, 338 nt
Filed under: Vigna radiata
Lineage: Eukaryota; Viridiplantae; Streptophyta; Magnoliopsida; Fabales; Fabaceae
Description: long non-coding RNA (VRAD_LNC006516)
Source: RNAcentral